AUCAGCUGUUGUGCCCUGAAUGCUGCUGUGGGGCAGGUUCUAGGAGGGUUAGGGGUGUGCUGAUGACGAUCACGUCCUUGUCCUUCAAGAGCUCCCAACUGAGCUGUCAAGCCAGACACUAUGUAAAUAACUGCCAGGUGAGCUGCACUGAGGAAAGGAGCUCUUCCAGCUGGGGUGGUCAGUAAAGUCAUCACAGAGGGAUGGGACUUGAGGAAAUGGGGUCCCCAAGGUUGGUAGGUGAGAUGACAUAAACAAUGGCACAGAGGCCAGCAGGCACGAGCUGGAGGCAGCAACACAGAACAUGGGCCACUUCCACACCACCCCCGCCCUAGGGUAUCUUCCUGCCAUCAAACCUCAGUUUCAUUGCGAUCCACAUCUUCCAUUCUCCCCACUCCCCCUAGCCACCAAUACUUCUCACAAACGUGGAAGCCCUCUAUUCUAGAACACCGGAGAA
RNAcentral lists this long non-coding RNA (454 nucleotides) under Homo sapiens (human). RNAcentral describes it as "long non-coding RNA NONHSAT179078". The record is from RNAcentral. Lineage: Eukaryota; Metazoa; Chordata; Mammalia; Primates; Hominidae.